Molecule: transfer RNA, 81 nt
Filed under: Pyronema omphalodes CBS 100304
Lineage: Eukaryota; Fungi; Ascomycota; Pezizomycetes; Pezizales; Pyronemataceae
Description: tRNA-Ser
Rfam family: tRNA
About the family: Transfer RNA (tRNA) molecules are approximately 80 nucleotides in length. Their secondary structure includes four short double-helical elements and three loops (D, anti-codon, and T loops).
Source: RNAcentral
GUCAGUGUGUCCGAGUGGUUAAGGAGUGAGACUUGAAAUCUCAUGCUUUCGAGCGCGCAGGUUCGAACCCUGUCGCUGACG